This 253-nucleotide ribosomal RNA is filed under the name uncultured bacterium. RNAcentral's name for it is "partial 16S ribosomal RNA". It matches the Rfam family "Bacterial small subunit ribosomal RNA", at positions 524 to 776 of the family's 1533-position model. The record is from RNAcentral.
UACGGAGGGGGCAAGCGUUAUUCGGAAUUAUUGGGCGUAAAGGGCGCGUAGGCGGCUCGGUAAGUCAAAGGUGAAAUCCCUCGGCUCAACUGAGGAACUGCCUUUGAAACUGUCAGGCUUGAGGCCGGGAGGGGGUAGCGGAAUUCCCAGUGUAGCGGUGAAAUGCGUAGAUAUUGGGAGGAACACCGGUGGCGAAGGCGGCUUGCUGGACCAAUUCUGACGCUGAGGAGCGAAAGCGAGGGGAGCAAACAGG